Molecule: ribosomal RNA, 1683 nt
Filed under: Clostridioides difficile
Lineage: Bacteria; Bacillati; Bacillota; Clostridia; Peptostreptococcales; Peptostreptococcaceae
Description: bacterial LSU rRNA
Rfam family: Bacterial large subunit ribosomal RNA
Source: RNAcentral
GGGGGUAUUGCACCUACCGAAGACUAUCAAACUCCGAAUGCCGUCAUCUUAUACUUGGGAGUCAGACUGUGGGUGAUAAGAUUCAUAGUCGAAAGGGCAACAGCCCAGAUCGUCAGCUAAGGUCCCUAAAUGUAAGUUAAGUGGUAAAGGAUGUGGGAUUGCACAGACAACCAGGAUGUUGGCUUAGAAGCAGCCACUCAUUCAAAGAGUGCGUAAUAGCUCACUGGUCGAGUGAUCCUGCGCCGAAGAUUUCCGGGGCUAAAACUUACUACCGAAGCUACGGCAUCAUUAUGAUGGGUAGGGGAGCUUCCCAUACGGGUUGAAGCAUGACCGUAAGGACAUGUGGACAGUAUGGGAGUGAGAAUGUUGGCAUGAGUAGCGAGAUGUGGGUGAGAAUCCCACAGGCCGUAAACCCAAGGUUUCCAGGGGAAGGUUCGUCCGCCCUGGGUUAGUCGGGACCUAAGCUGAGGCCGAAAGGCGUAGGUGAUGGACAACAGGUUGAUAUUCCUGUACUACCGAUAACCGUUUGAGAGAAGGGAUGACACAGUAGGAUAAGCUAAGCACACUGUUGGUUAUGUGUGCCCAAGCAUUGAGGCAGUCAAAGCAGGCAAAUCCGCUUUGAUAAUGCUGGGAUGUGAUGGGGAGCGAAAUUUAGUAGCGAAGUAGCUGAUUUCACACUGUCAAGAAAAGUCUCUAUCGAGGUUAAAGGUACCCGUACCGCAAACCGACACAGGUGGGUGAGGAGAGUAUCCUAAGGCCAGCGAGAGAACUGUUGUUAAGGAACUCGGCAAAAUGACCCCGUAACUUAGGGAUAAGGGGUGCCACCAUCCGGUGGCCGCAGAGAAUAGGCCCAAGCGACUGUUUACCAAAAACAUAGGUUUCUGCUAAGUCGCAAGACGAUGUAUAGGAGCUGACGCCUGCCCGGUGCUGGAAGGUUAAGGGGAUCUGUUAGAGCAAUCGAAGCAGUGAACUUAAGCCCCAGUAAACGGCGGCCGUAACUAUAACGGUCCUAAGGUAGCGAAAUUCCUUGUCGGGUAAGUUCCGACCCGCACGAAAGGCGUAACGAUUUGGGCACUGUCUCAACAACAGACUCGGUGAAAUUGUAAUUCCGGUGAAGAUGCCGGAUACCUGCGACAGGACGGAAAGACCCCAUGGAGCUUUACUGUAGCUUGACAUUGGGUCUUGGUACUACAUGUACAGGAUAGGUGGGAGGCUUUGAAACCAGGACGCCAGUUUUGGCGGAGCCAUCCUUGGGAUACCACCCUUGUAGUACUGGGACUCUAACCAUAGGCCAUGAAUCUGGUCUUGGGACACUGUCAGGUGGGCAGUUUGACUGGGGCGGUCGCCUCCCAAAAGGUAACGGAGGCGCUCAAAGGUUCUCUCAGUACGGUCGGAAAUCGUACGUAGAGUGUAAAGGCAAAAGAGAGCUUGAUUGCAAGACAUACAGGUCGAGCAAGGAUGAAAAUCGGACUUAGUGAUCCGGUGGUUCUGCGUGGAAGGGCCAUCGCUCAACGGAUAAAAGCUACCCUGGGGAUAACAGGCUUAUCUCCCCCAAGAGUCCACAUCGACGGGGAGGUUUGGCACCUCGAUGUCGGCUCAUCACAUCCUGGGGCUGUAGUAGGUCCCAAGGGUUGGGCUGUUCGCCCAUUAAAGUGGUACGCGAGCUGGGUUCAGAACGUCGUG